AGAGGGAUUUUUUAUUUUGCCUGCGUUAUGAGAGAAACGCAGGCUUUGUGAAAAGCUGUGACCCGUGGAAAAAUUGGCAAGUUUUCAAAGUGACUAUCACCAUAUAAAUGCUUAGAAACACUGAAUAACUCCAGGCUUCUUAAGGUCUGAAAACGAAAUGUGUUUCUUCCCAAAGUGUGACUACCACGAUAAUUGCUCUGAGGCAAACAGUCUCUUUCAGCCACUUGUGUUGACCAAGGGAUGUGAAAACCGUCAACAAACUUUGUUGGGGCUCCUCAAGGUGCGGAAUUCCCAAGCACAUGAAUGGCCAACCUGGCCACAUCCUGUGCUCAUGGGCAUCCUGAAGGCAAGGGGUGUGUUGAGGCAAAAGUUGAAGGGGCAGAAAAGUGCUGGGCUCUUGCAAACUUAAAGUUGUUUUGGGAAUGCUGCUGUUCAAAAAUGAUCCUCUCUGUUCCUUGGACUUCUCUAAUCCAUCCUAGAAACCUCUACGUUCAUUCUUUGAUUCAUUCUAUCCUCCAAAUGCUUUCUCCUCUAAUUCAUGUCAUCUUUAUAUGUUUGGGCUUGAACUUCAUCAAGCUGGUUUUCAUCUCUCUCUCAGUAUGUUCUCAAUAUUAGACGUGUCAGAGGUCAUCUGUAAUUGCCAUAUUGAAAGAAAAUAUAAAGUAGCACUGAUAUUAAUAACACUGCAGUCCAUAUACUGCAUCGUGAUAAUUCCCACAGCCUCUGUACAGAUGUUGGAUAGAAGAGGUGAUCAGCACCGAGUGCUGUUGAAUAUUGCAUCUGGGAAGCCUCAACAGAAGGAAAAACCAUCUGCCACCAUCUGGGAACACUUAGUGAGGAAUCAUUGGGACCACACUAAGGCAUUUCUCUCUCUGAGCCAGGUCAUGCAGCUGUGUCAGGGAUUUUGCAUGCUCCACCAUGUGAAAGGCCACCAGAGCUUUGAGUCAUCUGCAAGUCACCAGGCAUCUGGCCAUGGUCACUGGUUGAGAUAUUUUUAUCAUUACGCUUAGCGUAGGUGAGGUGCAGUGGCGUAGGAGAAGUGAUUUCAGUGAGGCAGUUGUUAGCCAAGCAAGUACAGUCUGGAAGAGAUUUCAUUAGCAGACAGCAGAGUAAAGUGCGUGGUGUUGGUGUGUGUCCCCCGCAAGAGCUGUUGGCAGCUUCCUCUUGAGAAGAAGUAGUGAUUCAUUCUUCCAGGAGCAGACUUACACAGUCCCUGUAGUUAUUUUCCUGGCCAAGUUGGAAUAGUCUAGAUUCUAGAUUAGUUAUUCAUAUUACAGUAGUUGCUCGAAAAUCCCUAUGUGCAAUGUACUUUAGAAGUACAAAGAAACAGGCAAUCCCUGUGCUAAUUUGGAGAUGUGAGGUGGACGAGAGAAAAACUAAGCAACUUUCUCAGUGUCAGUAGGAGAUUCUGGAAAAUAAUGUGAGCUGAAUGAAUAUCUUCCAAGCACUGCAGUAGCAUAAUUACUGUACAUAAUAAUUUAUAGUCAUUGACAGAUUGUAAAAAGCAACUGUAGUGUGACUUCUGUCAAUAAUUUACUGAGUGAUUUUAUGCUCAAAUUAAUAUAUUAAGUUACACACAAAAUUGAUGGAUAAAUAAUGUCUUUCAAAUGUGGUAAACACUUGUAAAACAUUGUAUUGAAAAUAGGCACUAUAACUGAACUGUCAAAGGUUUUAAUUCAGAUAUUUACGCACACGCAGCUUUAGCUAUGCAGUAAAAUUAUUUUGAGUAUUAUAAUUAGAUAAACACAUGUUGAGGGUGCUAAAAAGUACAGGUCUCUCCUCUACUGAGUACAUCAUACUUGCUGGAGUAUGACACUCCAGUCUAAUUGAACUCAAAGACCAGUCAGAGCAAGGGAUGUGGAUCUUCUAAGUCCAGCCACUUAUACAAUCUUCAUUUUCUCCUCUUCUUCCCUCCCUGACUAAAGAAGCUAUCAUUGAUAAAUGCACAGAAAUGCCUAUAUCAUUCUAAAACUUGUAGUCCGAUGGAAGACACAAUAAGCAAUAAUAAUGAAUAAUCGUUCCAUCCUGUAAAAUAGCAUUUGUGAAAGAAUAAACUGUAAAAUAAAGAUUAUUUAUAAUUGUUGCUGAUUGUGUAAGGUGGGCAAAUAUGUACACAUUCAGAAUAGGAUUUUUUGCUGUUUAUUUAAUUUUCUUUUUUUUUCACCUCUAAAUCUGUAUUUGACACUGUGAAGAAAAUUGAAGCUUAAACAUGUUCAUGCCACCAGAAGGUGAGAACUUUGGCUUAGUGCAGAACUUCCUUGUCUAAGGAUAUUAAAAGCCAUUUUGUUUUUUAUAGGAAUGAUUGUAUGUUUGUGGGCUUUUCACUGGAUUGAAUUGUAGCUUCAGAACAGGACCCAGUGGAGAACUGAGAGGAUCGAGUUGACAAGCAACUGAAACACAUACUUCAGCCUUUCACAGCAGCUAUUAAGAAGCUUCCAAUAUGCAAUUUUUUGAUAACAGUCUUGAAAGCCUUUUUGGUCUGCAUCUAAUGUGGGUACAAUGGAGUCCAGGAUGAGCUACGGCAAGAUGUAUUUAAAGACAAGAGUGCAACCAGCAAAUAGUGAGUCCCCACAAUGGAUUUUGCAAUUGAAAAUCUGGAACAUGAGCAUUUCCAGCGAGGCUUUGGAUGGAGUCCUAGACAGGAGGCUUAGAAACACUACCAGGAGAGGAACCAAACCAGGUUUGAAACAAGUAUUUGAACAUCUACUGCUAUGCACAUCUGCAGGCUUUUCUGGGGUAAAAAGUAUUGCACCUUUGUUUUAGGAAAUUUAACAAGAUACAUAAGUAACAGUAGUGAUUUCAGAGAAUUGUAAAUACCUAUUACCUUCACACAAUCCAAUUCUCACCAUAUUAUUCAAUAUUUAUAUUUUGAUUAAAAGAAUAUACCCUUUAUCUGGCCUUUUUAUUCUUAACACCAAAGACUGUUGAAAAUCAAAUGUUUCAUUACAUACACCAAUACUUCCCAGUCAUUUUGAAACAAUUAUUUUAAAUUAAUAUUUCCCUUUAAAGUGUCUUUCAUUUUCAACUGACUGUAUCUUUUAUGUAAGAAGACUGUGAAACUGUUUGUCAAAUGUGAAGGCAGCACCUCUGUGUCACUGUUCCAGGGCUGGAAAAAGUUGCUGCAGCCCCAGCAAAAGUGAGGCAUUGUUCCAUGAAGGAUGAGUAAAGUGGUUUGCAUGGGGCUGCUAUCCCAAACUCUCAGUUGCCAUCUCUGCUUCUGAAGUGCAGUACAUUUUAGAAUAGGUUUUACAGUUCUCUGUGGAGAGUAAUUUAGACUUACUGUGCUAAAUUGUAAUAACAACAUGGAGAGAGAAUAAUUCUAGACAUUUCUUGGUAUCAUAUUUUACUUGGCUCAUUUAAAGUAGCAAUAAAAUUUUGAUUUUAUUUAUUUUACAGAAUCCAAAAUGCUGCUGAUGCAUUGCAAAGUGUAGCAAGUCUUAUCUGUGCUCCUGUAAUUUAUACAGCAUGUGUGACUAGACGGAGCAGUAAGUCAUUAAUUCACGCCCAGGAUUAGCGAACUUUUUGUUAAAUCCUCAGAGUUUACCUGUUCUGGCUUCUGGCUUCUUUUUGUGGUUCCUUCAAAGCCUGUUUCUGAUAACACAGGUUUAGGAGCAUUUUGGACUUGUGCAUUCAGGACUGAUCAGGGACUGCUAAUAAAAUCCCAUCUAUUUCUGCACUAAGAA
Long non-coding RNA from Columba livia (rock pigeon), 3683 nucleotides. RefSeq lists it as uncharacterized. The record is from RefSeq and is a predicted model, not a curated record. NCBI's taxonomy places the organism in Eukaryota, Metazoa, Chordata, Aves, Columbiformes, Columbidae. The transcript has 2 exons.